Molecule: ribosomal RNA, 1511 nt
Filed under: Thermobifida fusca
Lineage: Bacteria; Bacillati; Actinomycetota; Actinomycetes; Streptosporangiales; Nocardiopsidaceae
Description: bacterial LSU rRNA
Rfam family: Bacterial large subunit ribosomal RNA
Source: RNAcentral
GUGACCAAGCUGGAAAGGGCGUGCGGUGGAUGCCUAGGCGCCGAGAGGCGAUGAAGGACGUGGGUGGCUGCGAAAAGCCUCGGGGAGCCGCCAACCAGGCUUUGAUCCGGGGAUGUCCGAAUGGGGAAACCCGACGCGGGUAAUGCCGCGUCAUCCCAUGCUGAAUCCAUAGGCAUGGGAGGCGAACCCGGGGAAGUGAAACAUCUCAGUACCCGGAGGAAAAGAAAACAACCGUGAUUCCGUGAGUAGUGGCGAGCGAAAGCGGAAGAGGCCAAACCGCCGGACGGAAGUCCGGCGGGGUAGUGGGGCCGCGUACGGCACCGAAUUUCUGUAGCCGAACCCGUCUGGAAAGUCGGGCCACAGAGGGUGACAGCCCCGUAGGCGAAACGGGGAUUCGGGCCAGCGGGAACCCCAAGUAGGGCGGGACACGUGAAAUCCUGUCCGAAUCAGCCGGGACCAUCCGGUAAGCCUAAAUACUCCUCGGCGACCGAUAGUGAACGAGUACCGCGAGGGAAAGGUGAAAAGAACCCCGGCGAGGGGAGUUAAAAGAGCCUGAAACCGCACGUCUACAAGCAGUCCGAGCGCUAUGCCCGCAAGGGAAUGCGCGAGGGCGUACCUUUUGCAUCAUGAUCCGGCGAGUUGAUGUGCGUGGCGAGCUUAAGCCGUUAGGUGUAGGCGUAGCGAAAGCGAGUCCGAAAUGGGCGCAAAGUCGCGCGCAUCAUGACCCGAAGCCAGGUGAUCUACCCAUGGCCAGGGUGAAGCGCGGGUAAAACCGCGUGGAGGCCCGAACCCGUGGAGGUUGAAAACUUCUGGGAUGAGCUGUGGGUAGGGGUGAAAGGCCAAUCAAACCUGGUGAUAGCUGGUUCUCCCCGAAAGCUAUUUAGGUAGCGCCUCGAGGGUUCAGUCCUGGAGGUAGAGCACUGGAACGGCUAGGGGCCCUACCAGGUUACCAAACCGUACCAAACUCCGAAUGCCAGGAACUGUGACCUCGGGAGGCAGACGGUCGGUGAUAACGUCGAUCGUCGAGAGGGAAACAACCCAGACCGCCAGCUAAGGCCCCCAAUUCUGCACUAAGUGACGGAAAGGAAGUGGCAGGACCCAGACAACCAGGAGGUUGGCUUAGAAGCAGCCAUCCUUUAAAGAAAGCGUAAUAGCUCACUGGUCGAGUCAGGCCGCGCCGAAAAUGUACCGGGGCUCAAGUGCAGAGCCGAAGCUGCGGCUGCAAGCGCGAGCUUGCGGGGUAGGGGAGCGUCCCAGCGCCGUUGAAGCCGUACCGCAAGGAGCGGUGGAGGUUCUGGGAGUGCUGAUGCCGGAAUGAGUAGCGAUAAGACAGGUGAGAACCCUGUCCGCCGAAAGCCCAAGGUUUCCUGGGGAAGGUCGAUCCGCCCAGGGUUAGCCGGGACCUAAGCCGAGGCCGAAAGGCGUAGGCGAUGGACAGUGGGUUAAUAUUCCCACGCCGCCCGUCACGUGUUGAAGCGAGCGGGGACGGAGGAGGGUAGCCGGGCCAGGUG